This 253-nucleotide ribosomal RNA is filed under the name uncultured bacterium. RNAcentral describes it as "partial 16S ribosomal RNA". It matches the Rfam family "Bacterial small subunit ribosomal RNA", at positions 524 to 776 of the family's 1533-position model. The record is from RNAcentral.
UACGUAGGGUGCAAGCGUUGUCCGGAAUUAUUGGGCGUAAAGAGCUCGUAGGCGGUUUGUCGCGUCUGCUGUGAAAUCCCGAGGCUCAACCUUGGGCCUGCAGUGGGUACGGGCAGACUAGAGUGCGGUAGGGGAGAAUGGAACUCCUGGUGUAGCGGUGGAAUGCGCAGAUAUCAGGAAGAACACCGAUGGCGAAGGCAGUUCUCUGGGCCGUAACUGACGCUGAGGAGCGAAAGCGUGGGGAGCGAACAGG